Long non-coding RNA from Gossypium arboreum, 496 nucleotides. RefSeq lists it as uncharacterized. The transcript is spliced from 3 exons. NCBI's taxonomy places the organism in Eukaryota, Viridiplantae, Streptophyta, Magnoliopsida, Malvales, Malvaceae. The record is from RefSeq and is a predicted model, not a curated record.
UAUCAUCAUGUUCUUCAUUUUCUUUAUCUAGAAUCGAAAACCAUUGUUGAAGAACAUAAAAGAUUCGGUCAGGCUUUAUUGGUGUGCAAAUCAAGAAAAGAGGAACCCAGACUUAGAUCGAGGCAAGAACAAAGUACUCGACUAAUCGACUAGUUUUGUCUUUUUUACGUUCGAGAGAAUCAAAGCUAACUCGGACAUUGGGGAUCAUCGGGAAUCAUCAUCACACUAUCGACUACUUGUUGGUAUUUUUAGAUGCUUGUAAAUUUGAUAUAUGGCAUGUAUAGGCUAGUAAGUUGAUGAUAUGUUUAUGGUUUGAUAUAGCCAUGAGAUUGGGCUUGCUUUUGUUGGAAAUGUUGGUAUGUAUUUGGCCAUUUAAAUUGGCUUAAAAUUAUGUUUUGGAUAAGUGUUACAUGUGAUGUAUAAUGCCUUGUGUUUUGGCAUUGUUUGCCAUGGUUAUUGAUAUGACUAAAUGGUUACUCAUUUGGUUAGUUAUAAA